UGGCGGCGUGCCUAAUACAAUGCAAGUCGAACGGCUUUUCUAUGGAAGCUUGCUUCCGCUGAGAAGAUAGUGGCGAACGGGUGAGUAACACGUGGGUAACCUGCCCAUAAGAGGGGGGAUAACAUCCGGAAACGGGUGCUAAUACCGCAUAGUUUUCUUGAUCGCAUGAUCGGGAAAGAAAAGACGGCCUUUGUGCUGUCGCUUAUGGAUGGACCCGCGGCGUAUUAGUUAGUUGGUGAGGUAACGGCUCACCAAGACGAUGAUACGUAGCCGACCUGAGAGGGUGAUCGGCCACAUUGGGACUGAGACACGGCCCAAACUCCUACGGGAGGCAGCAGUAGGGAAUCUUCCGCAAUGGACGAAAGUCUGACGGAGCAACGCCGCGUGAGUGAAGAAAGGUUUUCGGAUCGUAAAACUCUGUUGUCAGAGAAGAACAAGUUGGAGAGUAACUGCUCCAGCCUUGACGGUAUCUGACCAGAAAGCCACGGCUAACUACGUGCCAGCAGCCGC
Molecule: ribosomal RNA, 510 nt
Filed under: uncultured bacterium
Lineage: Bacteria
Description: bacterial SSU rRNA
Rfam family: Bacterial small subunit ribosomal RNA
Source: RNAcentral